CCUACGGGUGGCAGCAGUCGAGAAUCUUUCACAAUGGGGGCAACCCUGAUGGAGCGACGCCGCGUGGAGGAUAAGGUCUUCGGAUUGUAAACUCCUGUCAUGCGUGAACUGGUAGCGCAAGAGGAAGAGACGGCUAACUCUGUGCCAGCAGCCGCGGUAAUACAGAGGUCUCAAGCGUUGUUCGGAAUCACUGGGCGUAAAGGGUGCGUAGGUGGCGUGGUAAGUCAGAUGUGAAAGCCCAGGGCUCAACCCUGGAAUUGCAUCCGAUACUGCUGUGCUAGAGUACUGGAGGGGUGACUAGAAUUCUCGGUGUAGCAGUGAAAUGCGUAGAUAUCGAGAGGAAUACCAAAGGCGUAGGCAGGUCACUGGACGUACUGACACUGAGGCACGAAGGCCAGGGGAGCGAACGGGAUUAGAUACCCUAGUAGUC
This 430-nucleotide ribosomal RNA is filed under the name uncultured bacterium. RNAcentral's name for it is "partial 16S ribosomal RNA". It matches the Rfam family "Bacterial small subunit ribosomal RNA", at positions 338 to 795 of the family's 1533-position model. The record is from RNAcentral.